Molecule: ribosomal RNA, 775 nt
Filed under: uncultured Neocallimastigales
Lineage: Eukaryota; Fungi; Neocallimastigomycota; Neocallimastigomycetes; Neocallimastigales
Description: partial large subunit ribosomal RNA
Rfam family: Eukaryotic large subunit ribosomal RNA
Source: RNAcentral
AUAUCAGUCAUGCAUAGCAUAUCAAUAAGCGGAGGAAAAGAAACUAACAAGGGAUUCCCCUAGUAACGGCGAGUGAAGCGGGAAGAGCUCAAAUUUGAAAUCUUAAAGGGUUUCCCUUUACGAAUUGUAGUUUAAAGAAGUGUUUUCUGUUGAGGUUUUGGUAAAAGUUCUUUGGAAUAGGACAUCAUAGAGGGUGAGAAUCCCGUAUUUGACCUUUACUUUCAACUUUGUGAUACACUUUCAAAGAGUCGGAUUGUUUGGGAAUGCAGUCCAAAAUGGGUGGUAAAUUUCAUCUAAAGCUAAAUAUUGGCGAGAGACCGAUAGCGAACAAGUACCGUGAGGGAAAGAUGAAAGGAACUUUGAAAAGAGAGUUAAACAGUACGUGAAAUUGUCAAAAGGGAAGCGUUUGACACCAGUGUUGUUUUUCUGAAAAUCAAUUAAAGAACUGUUUAUGCUAAGUUGUUUAGACUUUAUCAGCUAACUGUUUAGUUUUGAGCUUUUCUUUAAUGCACUUUUCAGUUAACAAGUCAACAUCAAUUUCUUUUGCUGUAAAAAAGCUUGAGGAAGGUGGCUUGAGAUUCGUCUUAAGUGUUUAUAGCCUCUUGCCUAUGCAGUCGGAGAGAUUGAGGUCUGCAGCGUAGAUCCUUCGGGGCUAAAUGCAUUUGUGCUAAGUUAUAGCAUUUUAUAGACAACUUGUUGACUAUGAUUUGUCUUGUAGCUUACUCGCUUAUGUUAUUUUACCUACGCUUAGGAUGUUGACGCGCGUGUGUGCGUG